ACUGACAACUGAGAGGGUGGAAGAGGAGAGAAGAAAAGGCUGCUGCAGAGACAGGAGCACAGGAACCCACAGUUGAUAGAGAGCCUGGGAGCAAAGGAAAGGAAGGAAGCAAAACAAAAAGACGAAUGCAGCAGGACCUCCAUUAGCCAGCCAGCUUGGGGAAUGGGUCAUUAUGGUUAAUGGAAGUUUCUAGUUAACUGUGAAUGAAGCCAAAAUCUUUUUUGUCUUAACCCCUUAAUUUAGAAAAGCUUUCCACAAAAUGUGACUUCACUUUCUUAUCUCUGUUACAGAUGGGGACUAUGAGAUCUUACGGCAUCUCAAAGGGCAGAAGUCUGGACAGGAAGACCAGUUGCAUAGUGGAGGGAAGUAUCCUAACCUGGAUUAAAUAUAUGCUGAAUUCCUCUGUUUAUCCUAAAAGCUAAAUCCCUGAUAUAAACUUGCUUUUUCAUGUUUUUAUGAUUUAGCUUUAUUUUAGGGAUUUAACUUUAUUUUAACCAUGGGUUACUGAGAAUUUUUGUUAAAGUUUAAUGGCAUUGUGUACUCCUAUUCACUCUUCAGAAUCUCAGUUCAAUAUCACUUCCUCCAUGAAGCCUUCCUGAUUACUUUUUCCUUUCUUCCCUCAGGCCCUCCCAGUUAUUUCCCUCUCUAAGGAGCAUACUAUGUUUAAAUAAUUUGUUAACAUGAGCUACAGGGGGCAGGUGGUUGAGGGAGGGCUUUCUCUGUGAGUCUGCUUAUUAAGAAGCUGAGCUCCCAGUCCUUGCCUUGUGAUAAUAAUCAAGCCCCAUUACUUGAGAGCUCGCAGAGGGCAGAAAACAAGGGCUGCUUCACUGUUACAUGCACAGGCCAUGGCCUGAAACAAGGAAGGGAAGGAGGGAGAAAACAACGGGAGGACAAAUUCUAUAAACAGGUCAGAGGAGAGGGAGAGACAUUAUUUAUCAGCUUGGUGAUUUCAACUUAAUUCUGAGAAGACUUAAUCCAUGUCUGUUUCCCUCUGGUCUGUAAAACAAAAUGCCUCCUACAAUGUUUCUGAGUUGUUUCACAACUCAGGAAGACGAUAUUUCUCUUUGCCAUAAGACAAUACAUUUCCUAAACGUACUGUAGUGGGUAAGGGUAGGGUGGGAGUUUAAAAAAGAAAAUCAGUCAGCAGCUAUGAAGAGCCAAAAGGACACAGUGUCAGAUCUGUGGAAAUUGAACCUAAGGAUAGAUCUGAGACCAACAAGAGUUAAAUGGUCAACUCCACUCAACAUUUGCUGAGUCUCUAUUCUGUGGGCCCUAAUAGAAAGUCACCAAAACAGUUCUUGAGGGGUCAGGACCUAUUGCUGAGAGUGGCAAGUCAGGAGUAAAGCAAAAAGAGGGCAGGACUGGCCUCAUGUCCAGUUGCACAGCCCUGGUUGUGCCAUGUCUCUGGGCUGGGAGACAGCUGCCUGGCCACUGGCCCUUGGGCCAUUAAAAACACAGGGCCACAGAAGGAGCAGGCAGGGCUCAUAUCUGGGGGAUUAGCUCCAUCUGCCCUGAGUGCAGUGGAAACCGUGCAUCCUUCCUCUUCCCUGGGCCUCAUCCUGGUGCCUGCCCCCAGCAGUCCCUGGCAGCCUCAUGUCCACCUGGCCAUGAUGUCAGGUCUAUUUAAGCCAGGGACCUGGUGAUCCUUUCCACAGCCCACUGGGAAGGCCUAUGUGUUGCUGAAAAACAAAUAAACCAACAGCUCUCUGUCACCAUGGGUUCUACAGACCUGGGGAUACACGGCAAAGGCCUGUCGUGGAGGUUGUAACUCUUUGUCCUUUAGGAUUCCCAAGGUAGACCACGUGUGUGCCAGCCCAGCAGGCAAACUGCCCCGUAUGAGUUUGUCCAUCAACUGUGCGUGCAGAUCUUUACUCGCAUGCAUGACACAGGAAGCCCACGGGACACUUCCCCAGCACGCCCCGCUUCCUCUGCACUCCUGGAAGGAAGACCUGUUCUUGCUUCUUCCGUACUCUCAGGAUCUGGCACAGAACCCGACAAAGGAAAUAUUUAAUGAACUAUGGCGUAGGCCUGGCCCUGAACGACACCCUGGGGACCCAGCAGCAGCAAGGUGCAGCUUCUGCCCUCAGCAACCUCACGGUCUAAUGGACGCGGCACAGUGGGCAGGAAGUGACACCAAAGAGCAUCAGGAUUAGGAAGUCUGUUCGGAUUAGCAUGGAAUCAGAGUCUCCCUGCCCUGGGAAUCAUUGCUGGCCAUGGCAGUUGCUGAGACUGGGAGCUAAAAGGUGCAUCUGAGUUGGAGUCUUGUCAUGUUCCUUCAGGUGUGUGUUGGACCAAGCUGCCUACCAUGUGUACGCAUACUGCCCACACAUGUGGUUAGCACCCUGGAUGGUUCGAUUCCAUGUCAGCUUGGCUGUUGGUGGGAAGUGGAUGAGUGGUCCAUGGUGAGUUCACUCAUUUCAAAAUGGCAGCCUGUGUUUACUAAUGGAUCGAGGCCUCUUGGGUUUUUCUAAUUGACUGAGGCCAUUAUUUCUCUCUAGCACUCAAUUCCGGGGGUAACUAGAAGUGAUGACUUAUAAUCAAAUUUAGGAUUUUUAUCUUUCAUUUAUUAUUAUUAUAUUCAAAUUUAGAAUUAUUAUCCUAUUCGUUGCAGUUUCACUUUGUCUUAUAUCUGUCUUCUACACAGGCCUUAACAAUAUAGUUGUUUCUGACUGGUUCACUAGAGAAGCCUUGGUAUGAGUCAAGGGUGGGAUGUCUUCCUCAGCCUGUCAUGGAAAGAUUCCCAUGAAUCUUCUUCAGGAGGGCAGGUGGUCAUGUUUCUGGCCCACCAGCUCUGAUGGUUGCACUAUCUAGGGCCCAUUAAGCUGCCUUAGAAGAGCUUGGCACUGCAGGAGGUAGGGCCGAGUAUCCUGUUUAUUGAGGGCCAGAAAGCCCUUUCAGAGCCUAUUCUUCUCAUCUGCACACUUUCAGCAGACUCUCUGGAGCAGCCCAGCUUCCCAGAACUGAGAUCACUAAACCAAGAAGAGGAGGCACCUUGGACCUGGGUAAAGGCUCCUUUCCAAGCUACUGCACAAAGAGGCCCAGGAGAAAUCAAAAGAUCAUGGACUGUUUUUGCUAUUGCAUGUGUUCCACCUUCAGUAUGGACUGUUGCCCUCCUUGCAGGUACUUCCCUUUAACUUUUCUUUUUGGCUAAGAUCCUUUGCAAUGUAUUGUAGAACUUCUGCCUGCCAGAUGUUUUCCCCUAAAGUCUACAUCAAUGUCAGUAGUCUAUUCUUAUGGAUUCAAUAAUUCAUUACAAUUCUGAACUGGAUUUGCAGGAUCACUCUAUUAUUAUAAAGGAGAGAAAACCCUAUACCAAAAGGGGCAAUGCAUGUAGCAUUUUUUCUUUUUUUGAAACAUGU
This is a long non-coding RNA of Homo sapiens (human), 3359 nucleotides long. Lineage: Eukaryota; Metazoa; Chordata; Mammalia; Primates; Hominidae. The record is from Ensembl.